Molecule: ribosomal RNA, 302 nt
Filed under: uncultured bacterium
Lineage: Bacteria
Description: bacterial SSU rRNA
Rfam family: Bacterial small subunit ribosomal RNA
Source: RNAcentral
GGAUUAGAUACCCUGGUAGUCCACGCCGUAAACGAUGUGCACUAGAUCGAGGGGGUUUUGACGCCGCUCUCGGUCGAAGCGAAAGUGUUAAGUGCACCGCCUGGGGAGUACGGUCGCAAGGCUAAAACUCAAAGGAAUUGACGGGGGCUCACACAAGCGGUGGAGCAUGUGGCUUAAUUCGAAGCAACGCGAAGAACCUUAUCCUGGGUUUGACAUGCAUGGAUUAACCCUAUGAAAGUAGGGCUACGCGGCUUGCCGUGGAACAUGCACAGGUGCUGCAUGGCUGUCGUCAGCUCGUGCCG